UCCGUAGCUGGACCCCUAAGUCUCUUGGGAAAUCCGCCGGCUUAACCGGCGGGCGUCUAGGAGAUACUGGGGGUCUAGGGACCGGGAGAGGUGAGAGGUACUCCGGGGGUAGGAGUGAAAUCCUGUAAUCCCCGGGGGACCACCGAUGGCGAAGGCAUCUCACCAGAACGGCUCCGACAGUGGGGGACGAAAGCUGGGGGAGCGAACAGGAUUAGAUACCCUGGUAGUCC
This 230-nucleotide ribosomal RNA is filed under the name uncultured bacterium. RNAcentral's name for it is "partial 16S ribosomal RNA". It matches the Rfam family "Archaeal small subunit ribosomal RNA", at positions 518 to 747 of the family's 1478-position model. The record is from RNAcentral.